GAGAACUGCACAACGAAGCAAACUAUGUGUGAGGUUAUUUGUCUAUACUCUUGACUGUCAUAAGGAUAAAGUGUCACAUCUGAUUUAUUCCGAAUCUGAAAAUUCCAUUCAUUAAGUCGUGCCAUCGGUAUGAGUAACUCUGAAGCAAUAAAGCACUUGUUAUCUCACCAUUUUCUGGAAUUAGGCUGAAGGAAAGAAUCUAAUCAUAGACAAAUCCAACGAAUAACACACAAAACAAAAAAAUCUAUAAAGUAAGUCUAGAUUUUAGUAAAGAGUGUUGAAUCUUGUUACUUAAACGAUCCGAUUUCCAACAACGCUCCUAGCGAUCGACAUCUUUGUAUGGUUUCCUCGUCUAUAGCAGUGAUCGAAGCAGACGCUCUCGGGACGCCGAAGGAGAAGGACGUGAACAUGGUGUGGGGAUUUGUGACCUGCGGGCCCAACGAGGCCUUGGUCAUUUCAGGAUGUUGUUACCAAGGAAAACCUCUGACGGUAGUGGGAGGACGUGGAUUUGUAUGGCCAUGUAUACAAAUGAUGCAAAGGUAUUAUUGGUAAACCUAUAGUCAUAGUGGGCCAAUAAGGAGAGUCUGUGAUCAAGGCAUUAAUAUACGUGUAGUUCUCAAUGCGUCUUGACUUGUGGCGUGAGCAUAGUUGUUUAUCACUUUUGAGCCCCUAAUAGUCAGUCAUGCAAAGUAUUUCUUUCCGAAGGAGAACAAAAUUUGUUCAUGUGGCUUUACCUGUUUCCUUUUAUUUUGUGAUAUGUGAAGAUUUAUUUAUUAUCAUAAUUGGAAUUGUAUGGUACUGUGAUGUUUUAGAGUAUUGAACUACUCAUGGGGCUGGAUCCUUGUACAGAUUCUCUGUGGAGUUUCACCUGGUUUAGCACACCAAAUGACUGUAAUAUAGUGCUUUGCCUAUGUUUUUUUUCUUUCCUUCAUUAUUUACAUCUUUUAUGUCUUAGUAUUAGAAUGUUUUCCUGUUGGCUUUUUCCUUGGUUGUAGCUGCACUAGACAGACCAUAGUCUUGUCCACUAGGCACCAGUCAGAAGGCAUUGGGAAUGUUGUGUAUCUUUUGUGUGGCUUGAUUCAUUCAGUCUCCUCUAAGUUGUAAAAUCUUUGGUUUUACCUUCCAAGUUUUCUCACCAAAGAACAUUUCCAAACUUGGAUGUGUAAUAGUAUUGCUAAUCCAGUAAUGGAUUAAAGAUCAGAUUUUUAUGACAUCAUCUAUGUUAAAUCUGUUGAUAGAUCUGCUAUUUUAUUUAAAAAGUGAAACCUGCUUCAGAAUCAACUGAGGUUUUCCACUUAGGUUGUCAACUCAAUUUUACAGUAAUGUAGUUGAUGUCUUUGUCCUUCUUACAUCUAUUCUUUGAAUCUAGUCAAGAUCAAGAGUAUACAAUAUCCUUCAAUAUCCUUUAAUAUCCUUAUACUCAUUGCUUUUUAAUACUGCUAGGAUACUGUGGUAACACAAAAGGACUGCCUUUAGCCAGCUUCUGAAGAGCUCAUUUGCUACCCUGAGGUACGCUGUCCUUUCUGGGCACCACCUCAUACAGUUUUUUAUACCAAUAAAUGCAGCCAUCUUAAAGGACUCACAUAGGAACCUCCUUUGUUACUUUAUUAUUAUUACCAUUAACUCAUAUUUUUUCCUUCUUAAAACCUGAAACCUCUUUUGUCCCCUAAGCAGAUGUAAUGGGAGAUGUUUUUGAGAAAGUUAUCAGCAGCUAGCAGCUGAAGGAGAUCAGCAUUAUGUAAAAAAAGAAAGUAAUAAUAUUUCUGAGCAAGUGCAGAUAUGAUAAUGUAAUGGCUACAUUACAUAGUGAUAAAUUCUGUGAGAGGAUAAUGUAAUCACUUUCCCUAUUUAGUUGUUUUUGCCAAGAUAAUGCAUUACAGUGUGUAUGGUAGUAAACGUAUGCUUGAGCCUGCUCUUUGUAUGCUUAUGUAAAUGGAUGGAGAGAGACAUUUAUAAUCGGAUUCAUUUAUAUAUAGAGUAUUAACUCUGCCAAACUAUAAGUUAGAAAUUGCCUUAUUUGCAGAAAAGUGUUGCUGUUACGAAUUGUAGUAGGUGAUAGAAUUUUAUAAAUACUUCAAAAGCUGAAGUCUGUGAUUUACUAGUUUUGAGUAUGGAGGGGCCCAUAGAGGGGAUGUAGAAGCAGUGUUUUAGGUUGGAUUUCUAUUUUGAUAUAUAUUUAUAGUUCAUAGAUAUUAUGGACUAUGGUAGGAAGACUUUUCUCUUAACCCAUCCCCGACGGGGGGAAUUCUAGCCUUGAAUGUCCAAAUGCCGGGGCGUUCGAAUUAUUAGGCCUAAAUCAAUUGAAUGGCUGGCACAAUACUGUGCCGCCCGGCCACUGGGCUUUUGAAUGUGCGGUACACAUGCUGUACCACCCGUCCAGAGAGGGUUAAGCUGCCGUUAUCUUGGUGGUUAUUGCUAGGAAGAAAACCAUGAUGGAUAAGUAGAGGGGUGUCAGUUAAUAUUUGUUUUGUUAGGGCACAAAAGUUUUUGUUUUUGCUUUUAUUAGGAAGAGAGUGAGAAUUUUGUGUGUGUUUGUAUGCAGGUAUAUGCUAUAGAGUACAAAAUAUUUUUUUCUGGGGAUUUGCCAUCUUAUGCUGGAAAAAAAACACACCAAAAAACAUACAUUUUUGUGAUAAGUUGAGGCUGAUAUUGUAUUUUGAAAGAAUAUAUUGUACAUGGUUUACUUGUAUAAUUUUUAUGUUUUAAUAAUAAUAAGGAAAAUAUUUGUAUUUAUUACCAUUGUAUUUUGUUUGUUAUGAUUUUGUUUGUCUUUAGUAUCUAUUAUGUGCCUUUGGAACUGAAAGUAGUAGACUUUUAUAUUUUCUGUACAUCUUCUGCUGUCUCUUAUUCCUCUUUAUCUUCAAUUGAUCUAGCACUUUUUCCUGUUUUCUAAAAAUAUCUUAAAGAAACAUAUAUCCUGCAGGUCUAUAUAAUGAUUUGGGAAAGUUGUUGCUGAGUGUGUGAACAUUAGCAAUUCUUUAAGUAAGUGUUAUCCCUUACAGUAACAUCAACAGAAAUUGGAUGAAGGAGUUUUUUCCCAGAGGAUUGUUAUAUAGAUCUCAGUUGUCCUUCCACCUAUUGUAUAUGGAACACCAUGUGUGGAUGUAAUGUACAUACAGUGCAGUGGUGUGCUACAGGGAAAGGAAACUUCUAUAAGAGUUCUAUGUGGCUUUAUUUUCUUCUGUGUUAAGAUGUGGGAGUUCCUGCAGCAUUUCUAUACACAACUGUCAAGUUGACACCCUUCUUCUAGUGUGGGGAAAUGACAGACGUGUGUU
RNAcentral lists this unclassified non-coding RNA (3275 nucleotides) under Penaeus japonicus. RNAcentral's name for it is "uncharacterized LOC122267328, transcript variant X2". Lineage: Eukaryota; Metazoa; Arthropoda; Malacostraca; Decapoda; Penaeidae. The record is from RNAcentral.